GCUGGACUCGGUUUUGCCGAGUGGCUCGGCCCGGCGCCUAUCCCCGGGAUAACC
This 54-nucleotide non-coding RNA is filed under the name Sphingobium sp. TCM1. RNAcentral's name for it is "sul1 RNA". It matches the Rfam family "sul1 RNA". Lineage: Bacteria; Pseudomonadati; Pseudomonadota; Alphaproteobacteria; Sphingomonadales; Sphingobiaceae. The record is from Rfam by way of RNAcentral.